RNAcentral lists this ribosomal RNA (364 nucleotides) under uncultured bacterium. Its description in RNAcentral is "bacterial SSU rRNA". It matches the Rfam family "Bacterial small subunit ribosomal RNA", at positions 772 to 1128 of the family's 1533-position model. The record is from RNAcentral.
ACGGAAUAGAUACCCAGGUAGUCCACGCCGUAAACGUUGGGCGCUAGGUGUGGGGGCCAUUCCACGGUCUCCGUGCCGCAGCUAAACGCAUUAAGCGCCCCGCCUGGGGAGUACGGCCGCAAGGCUAAAACUACAAAGGAAUUGACGGGGCCCGGCACAAGCGGCGGAGCAUGUUUGCUUAAAUUUCGAUGCAACGCGAAGAACCUUAACCCUAGGCUUGACAUGCACGGAAAUCUCGCAGAGAUGCGGGGUCCGGUAAGGGUCGUGCACAGGUGGUGCAUGGUUGUCGUCAGCUCGUGUCGUGAGAUGUUGGGUUUAAGUCCCGCAACGAGCGCAACCCUCGUCCCAUGUUGCCAGCGGGUUU